UGACUUUGAAACCUUGCUCUUUCCAUAUUUGUCCAGUAAUGUAAAAGGGGCCAAGGAGUGCACUAAACUUUUCCUGGUCAAGUUGCCAGAGAGUCGAAAAUUCGUUGUGCCAAAAAACCUCAAGUUGAUCGCAGUUCCUUUAUGCCAAAUUCACGAAAACCAUAAGACGUAUGGGCCAGUUAUAUCAGGCAUUCCACAGCUGCUUUCUAAGUUCUCCUUCAACAUUAUUGAAAACUAAGAAUCAUCUUAUUAAUUAUAACGGAUGAAGAGCUAUGGUCGUCGGGUAUUAGCGAACCAGAGAAAAUAAUAUUUAUUAUUAGUGCAUUAUAGAGCUGUCAGCUAACUUUAUAUGAAUGUUGACAGACCCUUGUAUAAAACAUGCACAUAAAUCGUGGUGAUGAUUUUGUAAGUAUAAAGAUAUAUAUAUAGUUAUAUAGGUUUACAUUGUUACUUUACAACUUGUGUUUCAA
This 470-nucleotide unclassified non-coding RNA is filed under the name Hevea brasiliensis (rubber tree). Lineage: Eukaryota; Viridiplantae; Streptophyta; Magnoliopsida; Malpighiales; Euphorbiaceae. The record is from RNAcentral.